CUACGGGAGGCUGCAGUAGGGAAUCUUCGGCAAUGGACGGAAGUCUGACCGAGCAACGCCGCGUGAGUGAAGAAGGUUUUCGGAUCGUGAAGCUCUGUUGUAAGAGAAGAACGAGUGUGAGAGUGGAAAGUUCACACUGUGACGGUAUCUUACCAGAAAGGGACGGCUAACUACGUGCCAGCAGCCGCGGUAAUACGUAGGUCCCGAGCGUUGUCCGGAUUUAUUGGGCGUAAAGCGAGCGCAGGCGGUUAGAUAAGUCUGAAGUUAAAGGCUGUGGCUUAACCAUAGUACGCUUUGGAAACUGUUUAACUUGAGUGCAGAAGAGGAGAGUGGAAUUCCAUGUGUAGCGGUGAAAUGCGUAGAUAUAUGGAGGAACACCGGUGGCGAAAGCGGCUCUCUGGUCUGUAACUGACGCUGAGGCUCGAAAGCGUGGGGAGCAAACAGGAUUAGAUACCCGAGUAGUC
Molecule: ribosomal RNA, 464 nt
Filed under: uncultured bacterium
Lineage: Bacteria
Description: partial 16S ribosomal RNA
Rfam family: Bacterial small subunit ribosomal RNA
Source: RNAcentral